UUUCGACUCCUACAAUAAUUUCGACCUUCAUUGACCAAAGUAGCUUGGUCAUCAAAUUCUUCCUCCACUUCCUCAUCAAAAGGUGGUGUUGGAAGUCUUUUUGCCCUUGGAUUGGUUUGGGAAGCUUCCCCUCUCAUGGAAUUUAACUCACUUUGUUGUUUCUCUAGUUUUUCAUUCAUGUUGCCAAUAGCUAGUUGAAUCCUCUCAAAUUCUUGUUGCAUUACUUUGAGGAUGAAUUCUUGAUCUUUUGAUGUUCUUUCACUCCCUUGUGGCUCAAUCUUCAAAUCUAAAAUUUUAAUAACAAACAAAAUUGAUUG
Molecule: long non-coding RNA, 317 nt
Filed under: Carica papaya (papaya)
Lineage: Eukaryota; Viridiplantae; Streptophyta; Magnoliopsida; Brassicales; Caricaceae
Description: long non-coding RNA (CPAP_LNC001071)
Source: RNAcentral